GGGGACUCUAUUAAAAGGACCCAAGCACAGGAGCAGUGUUGUUGGAGGCAGGCCCCUGGCCAGGGUGGCCUCCGCCAUUAAAAGAUGGCGCCUGGCUAGUUGCCAGGUUAGGAUUGCCUCGUGAGACUAAGUGGAACGCCCAAAGAGGAAGUAAACAGCAUUGGUUGCUAGCGAAGUUGUUCGUUUAGGUGCACAGCCUGAUUCGCUCCCUCCUGUACCCUGCUCGCUGAUUGGUCAUGUAAGCGUAUAUAAGUGUGUAGACUUGCAGAAAUAAAGAGAGAGAAGAUGCAUCCGAACCAGGGCGUCUUGUCGUCCUUGCGGGGCGCGGGCGAUACAGUAUGACUUCAUUCAUGAGGAAUGAGAGCCAGGACUGGCACAGGGGCUCUGAAUCCCCUCAGACUUCACAGUGUCCCCAUCCUGCCUCUUGGUUUGCAUUGCCUUUCUUUGCAAACCAUCUCUCCUUGUUUCUCUGUUCUUCUUGCAGCAGAAAGCAGCUAUCCUAGAGGUCCCAAUUCUCUUUCUUCUCAGUUCAAGAGACCAGAAGAUAUUCACUGGUAUCUCUCAGAGGCCGAAGUUUCCAGGCUCACAAGCACCAUUUGUCAUCAGUGUUUUCAAGUUUUACCAACCUAAUGGAUGAAAGAUGGCUCUAAUGUGCAUUUCCCUAAUUACAAGUGAGUUUGCAUUUUUUUCUUGGUUUUAAGCUGGGUAAGUGUACUUCCUGUUGUUGCUUUGGUCAUGGCCUCGGGGCAUAGCAGUCUGUGGUAUCCUGUCAACUCGCCUCCCCCGUGCAAGGCCUGGGAGGGAGCCCAGCUCUACCUCUCAGUUAAAGCAGCUGCACCAUUUCCUAGGCAUUUGUUCAGCCCUCCUGGAAAUCAAUUUGCCACCUUUAACCCAGCAAACCCUCUUUUGGGAAUCUGUUUUACAGAAAUAAUCUAAACUUCAGAGUUAAAAAUUUACACAAAAAGGUUCAUGAUAUCAUUAUUCAUAAUAAAGGAAUUUUUAUAACAAUCCAAGUAGC
This 1018-nucleotide long non-coding RNA is filed under the name Mustela putorius furo (domestic ferret). RNAcentral's name for it is "lncRNA (ENSMPUG00000030292.1)". Lineage: Eukaryota; Metazoa; Chordata; Mammalia; Carnivora; Mustelidae. The record is from RNAcentral.